RNAcentral lists this long non-coding RNA (2108 nucleotides) under Carica papaya (papaya). Its description in RNAcentral is "long non-coding RNA (CPAP_LNC000265)". The record is from RNAcentral. Lineage: Eukaryota; Viridiplantae; Streptophyta; Magnoliopsida; Brassicales; Caricaceae.
UCCGAGUAGUAAUUAAAUUACCCGCUUUUAGAAUAUAGAAUAAAAUACUAAAAAUAUAUUCUUUUCCUCUGUUUUUUGGAGAGGCGGUGAAAAGUUGAAGUUGAGAGAGAGAGAGAGAGAGAGAGAGAGAGAGAGAGAGAGAGGAGUUCUGAGUAGUUGUACAAACAGUAUGUACAAAUAAAUCCAUAUCUGUGUUUGUGUGUAGGGAGAGGAAGAUGUGCAUGAUGACACAUAUGAUGAGGUCGGAAGAAAGCUAGUCUCCAUGCUUUUGCAUUUGGAAUGAUUAUCCUAUAAUUUGUUUGCUUUUUGUUUUUCUAAUUUUUAAUCUCUUGAUUUUUAAUUGCUUAAUUUGAUUUUUUUUUUUUAAAUAAUGGACUACUUGGGAAGACCAAACCCCUGUAUAUAAAUAUAUAUAUAUAUAUAUGUAUAUAACACAUUUUAAAGUUAACCCUUUUGUAUAAUCAAUAUUCUAUUCCAUAUUACAUAUUUCCUCCUAUAAAAAUGUCUACUACCUAAUAGGUAAUCAAUUGAGAACUGUGUAAGUCAAAAAUCAACUCAACUGUGAAUACUCUUUCCUGUUCUAUUAUAUAUCUAUAUGGGUGUAUCACACAUCUAAUAAGUAGAUAGGUUAAUAUGUAUAUAUAUAUGUGUGCCUGUCUGUAUAUAAGAACAGAACACAUUAUAUUCAAUCCGUCCUCCAACAAUUUUGCUUAAAAUUUAUUUGAGAGUAGAGUACGUCCACGAAUUAUGAACAGUGUUGUAAGCCUAAUUCUUUCCACAACUUAAAUAAAACAUAUAUGAAAAAUGACAACGUAUUAAAUGUUGGGGCUGUGAAGAAAAAUGUAUAUUCUAAAUAUGGGUGUGAGUGAAGUGACAAGAAAAUGAUGCCAUGCCUCCAUUUUUAAUCACUGCCAACUUGGUACUUUUUCCCAUAUAUCUCAUUUUCCACGAAAACUUUACAUAUAUACACAUAUAUUAUAUAUAAAAUCUUCCAGUUGUCUUCUACCAGUCAAAACUCCCAAGAACUUUGAAAACCAUGUCAAUUUGAUUGGAUAUCACAUAUUGAUCCAUGUAAUUGAUUGACGUGUAUGUAAAUUAUAUAUAUAUAUAUAUGUAGUAAUUAACAUUCACAUUUAAUUAUUGGUAAGAGGGUUUUUAGUUAAUUAAUUAAUUAAGGAGGAAGGUUAAUUAAAUGCGUGCGAUCAGUUUGGUUGUGUGACAAAAUCUCAGCCAUGCACAUGACCCAACUGUAAUGAGGAGAUAAAUUCCAAAGGAAACGACGAAGCAAACAUGUAAAAGGGAAUAAUCGUCCGGAUGACAGUGUGUGUUUGUAGCUUAACUCACAUUCAUUUUAGAUUUGUUGCCCACUUGCUCUCUUUCAUCCAUAUGUGUAUAUAUAUGCAUCUCAUCCUAAAUAUUUUCCUAAAAAAAUUCUAUAUAUAAACAUAGGUGGAUAUAUUGAUGGGAAGGUUUGGUAAAUGUUAAUUAGUAAUGGGUAUUGAUUUAUUUCUUGAAUGGUAGAUUUAUAUACAUACAUAUAUAUAUAUAUAUAUAUGGUUAAAAUUAGAGAGGGGGGAAGGGACAGGGAGCUGACAAAGGCAGUGAAUAUUUGGGAGUGAUGGGGAGGCGUCUGGUUGUGGGCUGACUUUUCCUAGUAAGACUUUAAUCAUAAUCUAAUCAUGUAAUUACUUUCUAACUUUGUUUAGUAUUUAAUUUUUGGAGUUUAGCUGUUGAACUGUGGCUGCACCAGAAUAUUCUCUCCUUCUCCAACACUCCAACUUUCAACACUACUGCAGAUUCCUACUCUAAUUUAUUACAAACCCCCACAACCCCUUUUUUUAUUUUUCUUUUUCUUUUUCUUUUCUUUCUUUCUACUAUACAUACAUACACACACCCAUUUAACUAUAUAGUUUAGAAAUUAAUAAGGUAGGGCUUAUAUAUAAAUAUGCAUAUUUUUUGAAAUACAAGAGGUUUAGGGAAAAGCAAAAUGUUGUCACCAAGGGCAUGUUUGUUUCUUUCUUUGUCUUCUACUAUUUGUAUUAUCUUUGUUAAUAGCAAGCAAUUAAGAGGGAGAGAAGAGAAGAAGACUUCAACUUUAAGAUUAUGAG